GACUUCACUGAAUACAAAUAUUAGUGUUUCAAAACAGCAAAAUGUAUUACAAUGAUGACAUCGUCAGUGAAAGUGCCAUUUUUUGCAUUUUUCACACACAAAUGGCACUUACACUGAUGAUAUAAUUGUUGUGAUACUUUUAUGGUUUUGAAACUCUAAUAUUUGUGUUCAGCGAAGUC
RNAcentral lists this microRNA precursor (179 nucleotides) under Pelobates cultripes (western spadefoot toad). The record is from RNAcentral. Lineage: Eukaryota; Metazoa; Chordata; Amphibia; Anura; Pelobatidae.